RNAcentral lists this ribosomal RNA (160 nucleotides) under uncultured bacterium. RNAcentral describes it as "partial 16S ribosomal RNA". It matches the Rfam family "Bacterial small subunit ribosomal RNA", at positions 358 to 510 of the family's 1533-position model. The record is from RNAcentral.
GGAAUCUUCCACAAUGGACGCAAGUCUGAUGGAGCAACGCCGCGUGAGUGAAGAAGGGUUUCGGCUCGUAAAGCUCUGUUGUUAAAGAAGAACGUGGGUAAGAGUAACUGUUUACCCAGUGACGGUAUUUAACCAGAAAGCCACGGCUAACUACGUGCCA